Pelobates cultripes (western spadefoot toad) is the source of this 396-nucleotide non-coding RNA. Lineage: Eukaryota; Metazoa; Chordata; Amphibia; Anura; Pelobatidae. The record is from the annotation of a GenBank genome assembly.
AGGACCAUCAAGCUCUUGAAGCGUCGGAGAUAUGCCAGACAACGAGUGAUCAGAUUGAAUGUCGGGAAGGCAUAUGCCCUGCCUCUGGUCCAAUCUUGGAGGAAUGCGUCGGUCGUCACGGCUUCCGGGUCCGGUCGCCAACUGAAGAACUGUGGCAGUUGCAUGUUUAGUCUGGACACAAACAGGUCCACACUCAAAGGUCCCCAUAAGUGUGUGAUCUUGUGGAACACACUAGGUUGAAGUCUCCAAUCUCCCGAGUCCUUCAGGUAGCAUGAGUUCCAAUCCGCGGUGUAAUUGUCCAGGCCUGGAAUGUGUUCCGCGGUAACUGACACAUUGUUCUGUAAACAGUAAUGCCAGAAGUCUCGAGCCAAAACUGCUAAGAUGCGAGACUUGGUG